This is a long non-coding RNA of Ornithodoros turicata, 280 nucleotides long. RefSeq lists it as uncharacterized. The transcript is spliced from 4 exons. NCBI's taxonomy places the organism in Eukaryota, Metazoa, Arthropoda, Arachnida, Ixodida, Argasidae. The record is from RefSeq and is a predicted model, not a curated record.
AGGAAAGCUGCCUGUUGCUGUUCCUUUGGACACUUCUGCACACAGCAGAAAGAUUGCAGCAAAGCAAACUCUCACUGAUGGGUGUUCUAAUUCUCCGUGUCACACAAAUUCCCGUGAGAGACAGUCAGGCAAGCAGCUUGACUCUAGGUGUCCAUCCAGUCAGUCGUCGUUCACUGAUGAGUCAACUCCAUUAAGGUUUUCAAGUCAACGAGCUAUGAGUACCGAGGUAGAGAGCACACGUUCAGUGCAGCUUGACGGACAAGGUGGGCCCUUUACCUAU